CGGUAAUUCCAGCUCCAAUAGCGUAUACUAAAGUUGUUGCAGUUAAAAAGCUCGUAGUUGGAUUUCUGCGGGGACGGAGCGGCCGGACGCAACUUGCGUCUCGAGCUAGCGCUUUCCCCGCAUCCUGCCGCGAACCGUGCUACCAUUAGCUUGGUGGCGCUGGGGAUCGGCUCGAUUACUUUGAGAAAAAUAGAGUGUUCAAAGCAGGCCACACGCCUUGAAUAAGUUAGCAUGGAAUAAUGACUAAGGACUUCGGUUCUAUUUUGUUGGUGUUCGGGACUGAAGUAAUGAUUGAUAGGGACAGUUGGGGCGGUCUGUAUUCCAAAGCGAGAGGUGAAAUUCUUAGACCUUCGGAAGACAAACAGCUGCGAAAGCGUUCCGCAAGGAUGUUCCCUUUGAUCAAGAACGAAAGUUGGGGGAUCGAAGACGAUCAGAUACCGUCGUAGUCUCAACUAUAAACUAUACCAGCUAGGGAUCGGUCAACGUUUAAUCAUUCGACUUGAUCGGCACCUUAUGAGAAAUCAAAGCAUCUGGGUUCCGGGGGGAGUAUGGUCGCAAGGCUGAAACUUAAAGGAAUUGACGGAAGGGCACCACCAGCCGUGGAGCCUAUGGCUUAAUUUGACUCAACACGGGAAAACUUACCAGGUCCAGACAUAGUAAGGAUUGACAGAUUGAUAGCUCUUUCUUGAUUCUGUGGGUGGUGGUGCAUGGCCGUUCUUAGUUGGUGGAGUGAUUUGUCUGGUUAAUUCCGUUAACGAACGAGACCCCAGCCUGCUAAAUAGCGCGGCUGAGCUUUGCUCGGUGCGAGCUUCUUAGAGGGACUAUGAUGCGCGAUAGCACAUGGAAGUUUGGGGCAAUAACAGGUCUGUGAUGCCCUUAGAUGUUCUGGGCCGCACACGGGCUACACUGGCGCCUGCAACGAGCAUAUCAGCUGGCCCGAGAGGGUCUUGGCUAAUCUUUUGAACCGGCGCCGUGCUUGGGAUUGACCAUUGCAAUUGUUGGUCAUGCAACGAGGAAUGCCUUGUAAACGCGAGUCAUCAGCUCGCAUUGAAUACGUCCCUGCCCUUUGUACACACCGCCCGUCGCUCCUACCGAUGAAUGUUCCGAUGAAAUUUUCGGAGAGCGCCAGAGAACGGGGCUCCGCCUUGCAGAUCUGGAGGCUCAAAGUCACUUAAAUCUGAACAUUUCGAGGAAGGAGAAGUCGUAACAAGGUAGCCG
Molecule: ribosomal RNA, 1218 nt
Filed under: uncultured Rhizaria
Lineage: Eukaryota
Description: SSU rRNA
Rfam family: Eukaryotic small subunit ribosomal RNA
Source: RNAcentral